UGUCAUUUAAAAAACACUAUUAAAAUUUCGCGCUACAUACUCAAGUUCAAUUUUUAUCGCCUCCUCCCAAUUAAACCCUAGUUCCCAUUUCAUAUGCGUCGUUCCCAAUUAAACCGUCUUUUCCUAAUCAUCACACCCAAACCACCAAUCUCUCCGUUCUCCUCCUCCUCCUCCACCGUCGGAGUUUCGUUCACUGAAGAUGAAGGUUAUACUUAUACUAAAUUGCUUAUUUAAAAUCUAUGGUUUCUGAUUGGUGGUUCUGUUUUAGGUUUGGUGUUAUACUAUCAUGUGAGUGUUUUCAUCUUAAAUGACUUAAUAGUUUUGGUUUUGAUUUGUUGGAAUUGAACUUUUUAGAUUAUUAAUUUGGCAGAAUUGAGUUUUGAAAUUUGGAUUUGUUUGUUGCAGCCACCUAGAAAUUUACUUUAUGAUAUACUCAGUUAUGAACUUAUUAGUUAUCAACUGAAUGGUAGUUAUCAAUUUAGAAUGUUUGUUAUCAAUUUAGAAUGUUUGAUUGUUAUGUUUUACAAUUAUUGGUAAGUUAAAUGGUUUGGAGAUUUUGGGUUUUGUAAGGUAUUUGAAGAAGUGGCUGGUUAAGUAUAAGAAUUUUCCGCAGUGGGUUCAGUUCCUAAAUGAGAAGUCACCGAUUGAAUUGUUUCAGUUACGUCUGUGGUUUGAACCGGUUUAAAUUGUGAUUAACGUGUACCCUGUCUUCGGCGGUAGUCGCCGCAUCUCAUACCGCAACUCCUCUGCCUCGACAUUCAGCCUCUGUCACUGCUAGUAACAGGCUUUUGUUUAUUUAGUAAUGAUUUGUGUUACUUGAUGGUCGUUUGUGUAGGUUUGGUUACUGAUUCAGAUCUGUUGUCACAUUAGUCAUAUUUUCUAAUAUAUUGUUCUGAUUGUUUAGUACAUGUGUGCUUAGUAUGCUUUUCGUGGUGGUAGACUGGUAGUGUAGAUGGAAUAGUAAUAAAAUGAGCGAAUAAGUUGCUAUUUGUUUUCUUGUUGUUGAUUAGGUGUUUGAGGUAUUGCAUUGUUGCUGGUAAAAAAGGUGCUUGAAGAUCUUGAUUAUUUGUCUGUAUUAUCAGAUCUGAAAAUGGUUAGUAGUAUCACAAUGAUUAUUUGAGGUAUUGCAUUGUUUCUGCUAAAAGACACAUAUAUUUCCAUUACUCAAAUGAUAAUCUUUGGUUAUUAUCUAUUUCGAUUCUAAAAUAAUUUAAUUAAUAAUUUACAGACAAUUCAAACAAUUGAUUAAAACAAUUUAACUUCAUGUUUGCAGGCACUUAACUUAAUAGAAGGGAAGGAUGUAAUGGUGCUAAUGGAUUUAUGAUAAAGGGUUGUCUCUUUGAUAAUUUUGUUUAAAACAUGAACCUUGAGAGAGGCUCGAUGCCAUUACUUCUCUACAUAAAUACACAAAUGUAAGCUCACUUAUUACUCCUCCAGCACACCAAAAAAAUAUUAAUACUUUAUUAGAAUUUUGUUUCUUGUUUUUCAUUUAGUGGUAUUUUAGCCAUUGAGGCUUUGUACUUUUGGUAGAAGGAAAACCCUCUAGGUGGUGUUUAAAUAGGAGGAGGUCAUGGGCAGAGGCGUCUCCGAGAAUUCAUGUACCCUGUUCGAGCUUGAAAAAAUGUGCCCUUCCGUAAUGCUUUUUAUUAUUUUUUUAAUCAAACGGGUAUUGGACUCACUAAACAUAAUGCCAAUGGGUUAACUUCUAAACCAUAAAAAAUUGUUUUGUAAAUGGACCUAUCUUGGAGUUGGUAUGUAAAUACUAAUGACAUGUAGGGACACCUAUAAUUACAUGCAAGGACAUCUAUAAUUGCAUGUAAGGACCUCUAGUUAACAACUAGGCCUUUCAACUAUUUACAACUAACAUUAUACAUGGUUUCAAUGAUACUAAAUUAGUGUUCAAUCAUGUUAAUGAAAUUUGUUAUAAAGUUCUAUACUUCAGACAUUUUUAAUUUAGACAUUUUUAAUUGUGUUGUGUCCGUGUCAGGAGGAAGUACUGAAUGUGGCUACUAUGUGAUGAAUUUCAUGAUGGAGAUCUUACGAAAGAGUUGAAAAAUACUGGUUAAUGACAAUGUUGGGGAAAAGAGAAAGAGUAGAGGAAUACUUGGCUAUGGAUAUGGAUGGCAUUCGCGAAGAAUGCUUGAGUUAUGCAACUACCUUUAUUUUUAAGUGACAAACCUUAUCUUAGGUGUUGAAUGUAUUACAAACAAUAUUUUUGUUAACUUGAAAAUAUUUGUAAUAUACUUGACAAAUGAUUAUGCAAUGUGUUGUUU
This 2273-nucleotide long non-coding RNA is filed under the name Helianthus annuus (common sunflower). RNAcentral describes it as "hypothetical non coding rna". Lineage: Eukaryota; Viridiplantae; Streptophyta; Magnoliopsida; Asterales; Asteraceae. The record is from RNAcentral.